GAUGAACGCUGGCGGCGUGCCUAAUACAUGCAAGUCGAGCGAACAGACGAGGAGCUUGCUCCUCUGACGUUAGCGGCGGACGGGUGAGUAACACGUGGAUAACCUACCUAUAAGACUGGGAUAACUUCGGGAAACCGGAGCUAAUACCGGAUAAUAUAUUGAACCGCAUGGUUCAAUAGUGAAAGACGGUUUUGCUGUCACUUAUAGAUGGAUCCGCGCCGCAUUAGCUAGUUGGUAAGGUAACGGCUUACCAAGGCGACGAUGCGUAGCCGACCUGAGAGGGUGGUCGGCCACACUGGAACUGAGACACGGUCCAGACUCCUACGGGAGGCAGCAGUAGGGAAUCUUCCGCAAUGGGCGAAAGCCUGACGGAGCAACGCCGCGUGAGUGAUGAAGGUCUUCAGAUCGUAAAACUCUGUUAUUAGGGAAGAACAAAUGUGUAAGUAACUAUGCACGUCUUGACGGUACCUAAUCAGAAAGCCACGGCUAACUACGUG
Molecule: ribosomal RNA, 497 nt
Filed under: uncultured bacterium
Lineage: Bacteria
Description: partial 16S ribosomal RNA
Rfam family: Bacterial small subunit ribosomal RNA
Source: RNAcentral